GACGAACGCUGGCGGCGUGCUUAACACAUGCAAGUCGAACGGAAAGGCCCUGCUUGCAGGGUCCUCGAGUGGCGAACGGGUGAGUAACACGUGGGUGAUACGCCCUGUACUUCGGGAUAAGCCUGGGAAACUGGGUCUAAUAUCGGAUAGGAGCCAUUCUUAGUGAGAUGGUUGGAAAGAUUUUUCGGUGUGGGAUGAGCUCGCGGCCUAUUAGCUUGUUGGUGGGGUAAUGGCCUACCAAGGCGGCGACGGGUAGCCGGCCUGAGAGGGUGGACGGCCACAUUGGGACUGAGAGACGGCCCAGACUCCUACGGGAGGCAGCAGUGGGGAAUAUUGCACAAUGGGCGCAAGCCUGAUGCGGCGAGGCCGCGUGGGGGAUGACGGCCUUCGGGUUGUAAACUCCUUUCGCUAGGGACGAAGCUUUUUGUGACGGUACCUAGAUAAGAAGCACCGGCUAACUACGUG
RNAcentral lists this ribosomal RNA (465 nucleotides) under uncultured bacterium. RNAcentral's name for it is "partial 16S ribosomal RNA". It matches the Rfam family "Bacterial small subunit ribosomal RNA", at positions 28 to 507 of the family's 1533-position model. The record is from RNAcentral.